GACGAACGCUGGCGGCGCGCUUAACACAUGCAAGUCGAACGGAAAGGCCUGCUUUCCCUUGUGGAUUGCGGGUACUCGAGUGGCGAACGGGUGAGUAACACGUGAGUUAUCUGCCCCCAACUUGGGUAUAAGCCUGGGAAACUGGGUCUAAUUCCCGAUAGGACUGCAGGGUGGUGCCUGUGGUGGAAAACGAUUUUCUAGUGGUUGGGGAUGAGCUCGCGGCCUAUCAGCUUGUUGGUGGGGUAAUGGCCUACCAAGGCGGCGACGGGUAGCCGGCCUGAGAGGGUGGACGGCCACAUUGGGACUGAGAUACGGCCCAGACUCCUACGGGCGGCAGCAGUGGGGAGUAUUGCACAAUGGGCGGAAGCCUGAUGCAGCGACGCCGCGUGGGGGAUGACGGCCUUCGGGUUGUAAACUCCUUUCGACCGCGAGGAAGCCACCUGGUUGGAAGGGUGGUGACGGUAGUGGUAGAAGAAGCACCGGCUAACUACGUG
This 494-nucleotide ribosomal RNA is filed under the name uncultured bacterium. RNAcentral describes it as "partial 16S ribosomal RNA". It matches the Rfam family "Bacterial small subunit ribosomal RNA", at positions 28 to 507 of the family's 1533-position model. The record is from RNAcentral.